GCAGCCUCUCUCUCCUCUCCCUCGAGUCGACCCUCUAUUCCUUUCUCUUCCUCUCAGAACCUAGCUCUAAUUUCUUGAAUCCAGCCCCAAUUGUACAAAAACUUUGGCCAUUCCUAUCCCAAAAACACGAUCUACGCAAGAUGCAAACCUCACCAACAUGAAUUUUAACCCCAAUAUCAUUUGAUUUUCGAAAUCCCCAAAUCCUUCGACCCAACCCUAGCUGCUUGUUUGAACUUUGAAGUGGUUGCUCAGAUGCUUGUACGGUGUUGAAGUGGUGGUUCAGAGCAGAAAAAUAUAGGUCAAGGAUGGAGCUGAUGGACAUCGUUGGAAAGUCAAAAGAAGAUGCCUCGCUUCCGAAAGCAACUGCUGCGCUGCAUUUGGGAGGUGCAAACUCUUCUACAACAACUGCUACUUGAAGAUUUGGAUGCUGCAAACUAUUGGUGCUGAAGAUAUAGCGGCUUGUUUUUUGUCAAGUGAUUGAAGUCAUCAAAUCAGUGAAUCAGAAGCAGAUUUUUGUUUGUUUGUAGUUCCUAUUAUGAAGUUAUGUAAUAUUUAAGUACACGUUUAGACUUUGAAAUCAGUCACGCACAUGAUUUCUGAACUUGUGUUCUUGUAAUGUGGAACUGGAAAAAAGCUAAACUAGAGAAACAUCAAGUCUAGAACUCUAUAAGAAGGUGAGAAAUAGGCUUGAUGAAGAUAUAUUAUCGGUGCUGAGUUGAGUAAUUGGUAUCCAUUGAAUAAAUAACUAAUCAGAAAAAAAGGAUUAUUAC
This 770-nucleotide long non-coding RNA is filed under the name Rosa chinensis. RNAcentral describes it as "sRNA RchiOBHm_Chr2g0084331". Lineage: Eukaryota; Viridiplantae; Streptophyta; Magnoliopsida; Rosales; Rosaceae. The record is from RNAcentral.